GACGAACGCUGGCGGCGUGCUUAACACAUGCAAGUCGAACGGAAAGGCCCUGCUUUUGUGGGGUGCUCGAGUGGCGAACGGGUGAGUAACACGUGAGUAACCUGCCCUUGACUUUGGGAUAACUUCAGGAAACUGGGGCUAAUACCGGAUAGGAGCUCCUGCUGCAUGGUGGGGGUUGGAAAGUUUCGGCGGUUGGGGAUGGACUCGCGGCUUAUCAGCUUGUUGGUGGGGUAGUGGCUUACCAAGGCUUUGACGGGUAGCCGGCCUGAGAGGGUGACCGGCCACAUUGGGACUGAGAUACGGCCCAGACUCCGACGGGAGGCAGCAGUGGGGAAUAUUGCACAAUGGGCGGAAGCCGGAUGCAGCAACGCCGCGGGCGGGAUGACGGCCUUCGGGUUGUAAACCGAUUUCGCCUGUGACGAAGCGUGAGUGACGGUAAUGGGUAAAGAAGCACCGGCUAACUACGUGC
This 469-nucleotide ribosomal RNA is filed under the name uncultured bacterium. RNAcentral describes it as "partial 16S ribosomal RNA". It matches the Rfam family "Bacterial small subunit ribosomal RNA", at positions 28 to 508 of the family's 1533-position model. The record is from RNAcentral.